This 716-nucleotide ribosomal RNA is filed under the name Escherichia coli. RNAcentral describes it as "partial 23S ribosomal RNA". It matches the Rfam family "Bacterial large subunit ribosomal RNA", at positions 2083 to 2798 of the family's 2925-position model. The record is from RNAcentral. Lineage: Bacteria; Pseudomonadati; Pseudomonadota; Gammaproteobacteria; Enterobacterales; Enterobacteriaceae.
GAAAGACCCCGUGAACCUUUACUAUAGCUUGACACUGAACAUUGAGCCUUGAUGUGUAGGAUAGGUGGGAGGCUUUGAAGUGUGGACGCCAGUCUGCAUGGAGCCGACCUUGAAAUACCACCCUUUAAUGUUUGAUGUUCUAACGUUGACCCGUAAUCCGGGUUGCGGACAGUGUCUGGUGGGUAGUUUGACUGGGGCGGUCUCCUCCUAAAGAGUAACGGAGGAGCACGAAGGUUGGCUAAUCCUGGUCGGACAUCAGGAGGUUAGUGCAAUGGCAUAAGCCAGCUUGACUGCGAGCGUGACGGCGCGAGCAGGUGCGAAAGCAGGUCAUAGUGAUCCGGUGGUUCUGAAUGGAAGGGCCAUCGCUCAACGGAUAAAAGGUACUCCGGGGAUAACAGGCUGAUACCGCCCAAGAGUUCAUAUCGACGGCGGUGUUUGGCACCUCGAUGUCGGCUCAUCACAUCCUGGGGCUGAAGUAGGUCCCAAGGGUAUGGCUGUUCGCCAUUUAAAGUGGUACGCGAGCUGGGUUUAGAACGUCGUGAGACAGUUCGGUCCCUAUCUGCCGUGGGCGCUGGAGAACUGAGGGGGGCUGCUCCUAGUACGAGAGGACCGGAGUGGACGCAUCACUGGUGUUCGGGUUGUCAUGCCAAUGGCACUGCCCGGUAGCUAAAUGCGGAAGAGAUAAGUGCUGAAAGCAUCUAAGCACGAAACUUGCC